UACGUAGGCAGCAAGCGUUGUUCGGAGCUACUGGGCGUAAAGGGUGUGUAGGCGGUUCUUUAAGUUUGGUGUGAAAUCUCCCGGCUUAACCGGGAGGGUGCGCCGAAUACUGAGGGACUCGAGUGCGGGAGAGGAAAGUGGAAUUCCUGGUGUAGCGGUGAAAUGCGUAGAUAUCAGGAGGAACACCGGUGGUGUAGACGGCUUUCUGGACCGUAACUGACGCUGAGACACGAAAGCGUGGGUAGCAAACAGG
RNAcentral lists this ribosomal RNA (253 nucleotides) under uncultured bacterium. RNAcentral describes it as "partial 16S ribosomal RNA". It matches the Rfam family "Bacterial small subunit ribosomal RNA", at positions 524 to 776 of the family's 1533-position model. The record is from RNAcentral.